UGAGGCCUUGGUUGGCUUUGGUGGGUCCUGAUGAAUCGUUGUCUGCAGAUGCUAUGGGUGUCUGAAGGGUGAAGUCAUGUGACCGUUUCGAGACUGUUUCGUUUUGUGUUUGACUUAGCUGGAACUUAGCCUUAGGAGCUGUUGAAUGCGUUAUCGAGUACGUACUGUCGUAUUUUCGACUUAAAGGAGACCUCGAUAUAUCAUAAUCUGGCGAUAUCUAUGACAACAAUUUAACUUGCUGGUGACUCUGGUCGUUGUUGCAGCAAUAUGGUGCGCUUUUCCGAUCUAUGCGAUGCAUCUGUUUGCUAGGAUUCUAGGCGUCUGUUAACCCGCCAUGUAUUUACUCAUAGAGUUUGCUUCCCUUGCUGGCUUCUGGCUGAGCCUGAGUGAUGACGGUGAAUAUUCCAUAGCCGUCUCGCGUAGUUGCUACAGCCGCCGCCGCCUCCCAACCCUAGCUGCCACAGUUGCCACCUUGACACGUGUCGUUUUACUCCCUCCGUCUGGAGAUACUUGUCGGAGAAAUGCAUAAAAAUAAAUGUAUCUAAAACUAAAACUAAAUACAUCUAAAUUCAUUCAUUCCUCUGACAAGUAUUUCUAGACGGAGGGAGUAUUAUUCUUGCUUCUUCGGACCGUUAGUUUUGUUCGAUGCUGUAGGGAAGCCAACCUUAUCGCUGACUGCUUGUCAAAACAUUGCUUUAGUACUAGAGCUUCAAAAUAUUGGGAUUCUUUUCCCCCUGACUUCAUUCUUUCAAAAAUUGUAAAUGAUAUGGUUGUUAUUUCAGGCGCGUGCGAAAAGGUGGUUCGCCGCGCGCUAGUUUUGGUGCGCGGCGUUCGGAGCGCACUAUAAAUUCAGCGCCUCCUCCACGUGCCCUUCCACCGCUCCUACACGCCCUCGCCUUGCCAUGAGCCCUCUGCUGCUCUCUUUCUCACCUUGUCGCCGUCGGGGAAGUUCGGGCUACCGCGGCGUCUGCGCGCCUCUAGUUUCUUCUGUGCCGAGUUCCGGUCCGGUGAGAUGCGCCUCAGCCCUGGCACAUUCGACAUCACCCACGAGGCCGCCCGCGUGUACGACGCGGCAACGUGGCGCCUCCAGUGGCCGCGUAGGGAGAUGAACUUCCUCGACAUGCCGACGCGGGAGCGGGCGCAGGAGCUCGCGCCUUCCCCGCGGCUUAUCACUGACGAGGACCGUCGCGACAACCGGAGGCGGGAGCGCUGUCUCGGCAUCGCCGAGAUGGACGAGGAAGCCAUGGCGCUGUGGCGCCAACGCUUCCCGCGGGACAUCGUCAACGAGCACGAGUUCUACGCGUAAAGGAUGGCGGAGAGGGAGGAGAGGAGGGUGGAGCGAGCCGCCUAUCGCAAGGACAUGCGUACGCGGAAGGCGGCCAUUCUCUUCAACAUCGAGCUAGGAGAAGUGUCGACAUGGGACUCCAAAGACGAGCGGUAUCUUGACGCCUUCAUUGAGUCGGAGGAGGAGAAGAAGGAGGACAUCGCCGAGUCAGAGUCGGUGUCGGAGGAGGAUGAUGACGAGUAGUUGAACUAUUUUUUUAUCUAUCUAUGCUAUGAACUAUCUAUGUAUCGUUUUUAUUAUCUAUCUAUGCCUAUCUAUGGAGUAUCGAGUCGGUGUCGAAUGUGUGUCGAGUCGGUGUCGAAGGAGAAGACGACGAGUAGUAAAAAAUAUAGCGGGCGUCUCCUGGAGCGGCGCGCGUGCAACUUUUUGCAACGGCCGCUGGAGCCAGUGCUCUGCGGCGCGCAAAAACUGGCUACGCUAGCACUGUAAACGUUUUUUAGCGCGCCGCGCGUUGCACGCCUGUUGGAGAUGCUCUUACAACGUCAGAUCGGCUGCCGACGAAGGACGUGUAAGAGUUUGUGUCCGGAUUGGUUCCCUUCAGAUUUUGGGCGUCCGUGUGUUUUUUAAGAAGAGCUUUUGACUGUUUAUUGGUGUGGCGACUUUGACAUCUUGUGUGUUGGUUUGUGGCUUGAUCCGGUUUCUCCAACCCUCUAAAUCUAUGGUGAUGAAUUGUAAACCUGUUCUGCGUGAAUGAUGCUCCAACCGAUGCUGCUUUUUACCGAUUUUUUAUAUCUUGUCUCAAGGGGCGAGUGACUAUUGCAGUGUUUAAAGUUUGGUAUGAUGAGGGCGUUUGUACGUAUCGCUUUUUUUUGUUGUUGGUUCAAUACAAUUUCUAAUCUUCGGCGGGCGGUGUACAAUAAGAAACGAGUAUACUUUUUAAUGUCAUUUUAUUUUUAGUUGUCGUUCUACAUAUGCUUUUCUUGAUAUUAAUCAAAUUUAAGAUGCCUUUUGGCUGUAUUGGUCAAAAAAAUAUAUAUUUCAUAGCCGCUCCUGACCUACUGUCACCUCCCUGUGAAGGCCUCUCGAAAGGAAAAAGAGUUUGUUUGGCGGAAUUAGACCUAACUAGUCAAGCAUAUCUUACCAAGCAUGAGUGUUUUCGGUUAGAAACAAAGCAAGUGGGUAGAGAUGUGUAUUUUUUAGGACCCGAAUUACUUGCGACCAUUCGCCAGGAGGGAGGGGUUGAUCGAACGAAUUUGGUCGCUAGGGCGAGCUGCUCCCGAUGAACGAAUCUACCCCCUCGGUUGUUUGUCAGGGGAAGGGCAUGGAGCCCUGUGUGUACCCCUGGCCUAUGUCAGUGCUCCUCGAAAGCUUCUAGACUUGAAUAGUUCACAUUUUUUUUGAGUCCGAUAAAAUUUAUUUUUGUGCAAAGUCCAAAAACAAUAGAAAACAAUAGCUGAUAUUGGGCAAUGAGUUAAUAGGUUAUUCCAUAAAAAUAAUAUAAACUGAUUUAAAUAGGUGCCAAAAGUAUGCUAAUUUAACAAAAAUAUGGCAUGGAACAAACAGAAGUUAUAGAUAUGUUUGAGUUGUAUCAUCAUGUUCAUGUUGUUUUCCAUGUCGGCAAUGAUGAUAUUAUGGUAGAUGUUAUAUUAGCUUGUGAAUAAGAACAUGUGGAGUAUGCUAGUUUGCAAGUAUGAUUGAUAUGUAGGUGUGGUAGUGUGUUAAAGUUCAUGGUAUGCUUUGAGCUUGAAGAUCCAUGGUGUUGUGUUAAACUUCAUGAUCCAUGUGUACUACCGUGUAGUGUGUUAUACUAGUCUUGAUGCUAACUGAUACGUCUCCAACGUAUCUAUAAUUUUUUAUUGUUUCAUGCUAUUAUAUUAUCAAUUUUGGAUGCUUCAUAUGCUAUUUCAUAUUAUUUUUUAGGAACUGCUUUUUGCUUUUCAGAAAAUCAGUACCAAACGAAGUCCAAAUACGAUGAAACUUUACGGUGAUUUUUUCUUGACCAAAAGUGACCCUAGAAGGUCCAGGAGGAGGUCAGAAGACCUACGAGAGAGCCACGAGCUCACAGGGCGCGCCCCAAGGGGUAGGCGCGCCCCUGAGCUUGUGGGUUCCACGCAACUCCGUUUGACCUAAUUUCACCUCCAUAAAUUCAUGAAUAUUCGAAAACCAACAGAGAGCCACCGAAACACUUUUUCCACCGCCGCAAGCUUGUGUUCUCCUGCAAUCCCAUCUGGAGGCCUUUUUCGGUACUCUACCAGAGAAGGAAUCGAUCACGGAGGGCUCUACAUCAUCCUUGCUGCCUUCUGAUGAUGCGUAAGCACCACAGACCUACGGUUCCAUAGCUAGUAGCUAGAUGGCUUCUUCUCUCUCUUUGAUCUUCAAUAUAAUGUUCUCCUUGAUCUUCUUAGAGUUCUAUCCGAUAUAAUCUUUUUUUACGGUGUGUUUGUUGGGAUCCGGUGAACUGUGGGUUCAUGAUCAUAUUAUUCAUUGAAAGUAAUUGAGCCUUCUGAACUUUAUUAUGCAUGAUUGUUAUAGCUUUGUAUUUCUCUCUGAUAUAUCCGUUUGGUUUGGCCAACUAGACUGAUUUAUCUUCAGAGGGAGAGGUGCUUUGUAGGGGUUCAAUCUUGCGGUGUCCUCACCCAAUAACAGAAGGGGUAGCGAGGUACGCAUUAUAUUGGUGCUAUUAAGGGUAAAACGAUGGGGUUUAAUUAUAUUGCUUGAGUUUACUUUGUCUAGAGCAUGUCAUCCUGCUUAAGGCAUUACUCUAUUUGUCAUGAACUUAAUACCAUAGAUGCAUGCUGGAUAGCGGCUGAUUAGUGGAGUAAUAAUAGUAGAUGAGGGCAUGAGUCGGUCUACUUGUCACGGACAUGAUGCCUAUAUACAUGAUCAUUGCCAUGAAUACAUCACAACUAUGUGCUUUUCUAUCAGUUGCUCAACAGUAAUUUGUUUACCCAGCGUAUGCUAUUGUUUCGAGAGAGAGAAGCCUCUAGUUAAAACUAUGGCCUCCGGGGUCUACUUUAAUCAUAUUAUAAAAACCAAAAAUACCUUGCUGCAAUUUAUUUACUUCUAUUUUCUUUUGAAAUUUGUCUAUCUACCUAUACAAGAUUUGAUCCUUGCAAGUAACGAGUUCAAGGGGAUUGACAACCCUCUUGCCCGUGUUGGGUGCAAGUAUUUGCUUUUCUGUGUGCAGCUGUUGUUCACUAGGAUUUGCGUGGUUCUCCUUUUGGUUUGAUAAACUUUUUCUCACCAAGGGAAAUACCUAUCUCUACUGUACUGCUUCACCCUUCCUCUUCGGGGAAAAUCCCAACGCAGCUCACAUGUAGCAAAAAGAAUUUCUGGCGCCGUUGCCGGGGAGACAUCAUCAAAUCACUACAAGUAACUUCACUCAAACUAUCAUCUACUUGUUCUACCUUUUAUUGGCCUCUCUUUUUCAUCCCCCUCUACUUCUCUAAAAAAAUCAAAAAUACCAAAAAUAUUUUGUGUGCCAUCUUUGCUUGUGUUGCCAUGUGCCUUCUAUUUGCUUGCAUCUCCGCUUGCUAAAAAUUAUUGACAUGGAUCCUCAUCCACUUGCUAAUCUGUUAAAAAUAUCCAACUAUGAUGAACCAAUUGCUAGUGAGUUCAGUGCACUUGAUUAUCUUUAUGAAGUUUUGCUUGAAAAUCGUGAAUCUGAAAAUUGUGAUGAAGUGUUAAAAGAAGAAAUUUAUAAAGUGAUUCAUGAUUGCUCCUGGAAUGGAAAGCAUGAUUGUAAUGAUGCUAUUAUAAAUUCUAUUAAUAUUAGUUGUGCUAAUAAUAUGCAAAACUACAAGCUUGGGGAUGAUGAUUUUGUUAUGUCCACUACUCAUUGUAAUGAUCAUGAUUGGGUGAUGCUUUUAUGAUCUUGAAAAUUUAUUUAGGCCCCAUGAUGAAUAUUUUAUUGAUAAUAAUGUUUGCAAUAAUAUUGAAAGUGGGUUUGGAAGAGUGUCAACUUUAGGUCAAAAGAAUCCCACAUAUCCGGAGAGUGUUCAAUCUUAUGAUUUUUUUGAUAAAAGUGGGUUUGGAGAGGUCAUGACUUUAGUUGAUGUUAAUCCCACUAUUUUGGAAGAGUAUAAACUUUGCAUGCAUGUGGAUCAUGUAGAGAAUAUGUUAUGUGAUAGCUGUAUUGUCGAAUUUGAAUAUGAUCCUACAUGUAAUUAUUUUGAGAGAGAGAGAGAGAGAGAGGAAAAUAUGGUUAUAAAAAUCUUCACGUCGCUAAGUUACCUGUCUUUGCAUUGAAAUUAUUAAUGCUUCAUUCUUCCUAUUUGCAUAUGUAAGGGCAUAUUUCUCCUAAGUGGUUUUGGUGAUUGAUGACAGUGCAUUUGCGUACUAAUCGUGUGCUGAGCAUUUCAGAUAUCUCAUGUCUAGGCACAAGAUGAUUCGGUGCCCUCGGAGCCUAUCGAAGGCAGCUGUUCUCUACAUUUCUUUUUGGUGGAUUUGAGUCAUAGGAAAGCCAUACUAUUAAGAGGGGGUCCGCUUCAAAAAGGUUAGGGUGGAAUCAACACGUACACAUCUGUUCCUUUGCACCACCUUUCCUUCGCUUUGAUGGAGCACCAUCCGUUUAUCCAUGGCUCUGUGAUAUGAAGGCAACCAAAUGCUAAAGCUUCUAUGGUGUGCGGUAGUACUGCUCAAGGGAGCGGUAGUACCGUAGGGGCAAGCGGUAGUACCGCUCCUGGUGAGCGGUAGUACCGCUGCCUCCAGCCCUGAAGCUGAUACAUGCAGAAGUAGGCGCGGAUGCGAUUUUUUACUUCUGCCCUUACAUGGUAGUACCGCGACGGCUGUCCGGUACUACCGUGCCGGACUUUUGCAUAGUUCCAACCUCAGCGGAAGUUGUUAUGGAAGUAAUUUAUUACUUCCGUGCAUUUCUAGUGCCAGUUGAUACCCGCCUUACGGUAGUACCGUAGGGGCGCGCGGUAGUUCCGCUCCGGCGGUUAUACCGCUCGUUGCCUUGUGCAACAUGCCCUCAUCUGGUAACUACCGCACAAGUGGUAGUACUGCAACCCUAUGCGGUAGUACCGGUAGUACCGCGUCGCACGGGCUGAGAGAGGGGAUAACGGUUGGAUCUUUUCCACCACUAUAUAAAGGGGGUCUUCUUCCCCAAGAAGACCACGUCUUCCCUCCCCAAGCCCCAUUGUUGCUCAAACCUCCAUUUUCGCCCGAUCUCUCUUCCUAGCCAAUCAAACUUGUUAAUUUUCUAUGGAUUGGUUGAGAAGGCCCCGAUCUACACUUCCACCAAGAGAAAUUUGAUUCCCCCCACUAAUCCCUCACGGAUCUUGUUACUCUUGGGUGUUUGAGCACCCUAGACGGUUGAGGUCACCUAGGAGCCAUAUUCCAUUGUGGUGAAGCUUCGUGGUGUCGUUGAGAGCCUCCAAUUAAGUUGUGGAGAUAGCCCCAACCUUGUUUGUAAAGGUUCGGUCGCCGCCUUCAAGGGCACCAAUAGUGGAAUCAUGGCAUCUCGCAUUGUGUGAGGGCGCGAGGAGAAUACGGUGGCCCUAGUGGCUUCUUGGGGAGCAUUGUGCCUCCACACCGCUCCAACGGAGACAUACUUCCUCUCAAGGGGAAGGAACUCCUGUAACACAUCCUUGUCUCCACCGGCUCCACUCUUGGUUAUAUCUUACCUUUACUUGUGCAAGCUUUUAUUGUGUUGUAUCCCUUGCUUGCUUGUAUGCUUGUUAUUGUUGCAUCAUAUAGGUUGCUCACCUAGUUGCAUAUCUAGACAACCUACUUUGAUGCUAAGUUUAAUUUGGUAAAUAAAAGCUAAAAAUGGUUAGUUGCCUAUUCACCCCCCUCUAGUCAACCAUAUUGAUCCUUUAAAUUGGUAUCAUAGCCUCGUCUCUUUAUUAAGGACUUUACCAUCCGAGGAGUAUGGUUGACACCGUAGACGAUGGGGAGAAGCACUCUGGUAUGAAUCCAUCCUCGUCUAUGUCCGAUGGGGGAUGCUUGGUAUCUCGUGAGGAGUUCAAUGUGGCUUUGGACACAUUGAAAACCUCUAUGACGACCGAGGUUAAAGGCAUGUUUAAGGAGUUUCUUGAUGGCAUUAAAUUAUCCUCUGCAUUGGAAGUGGUUGAUCCCGCCAACAAGGUGGUGGAUGCUAACUCCAAUAAGGAGGAAGGUAGUAGUGGCCAGGUUCCUUUGCCAAGUGGUAAGAGUGGGAGUGGCAUCUUUGCCCAUGUUGAACCUCCCCUUACCUAUGGAGGACCAGUUCCCUCCACGCAUAUGAAUCAUGUUGGUCCUCCUCCUAAGCUUGCGAAAAAUCUGGAUUUUUCCGCUUGGGUGUAUCGCUUUAAACGCCAUUUAAAUCAUAACUCUACUAAUCUCUGGAGAAUUAUUGAGCAAGGUUUCUACCCGCAUGAUCCAAGCAACUUCACUCCUAGAGAAGCCGCAGAUCAUCAAUUCAACGAGUCCGCUCUCUUCAUUCUCCAAGAAGAUAUUCCUCCUGAAGAUAUUGCACAUCUCCGACCUUUCACCGUGGCCAAGGAAGCAUUGGAGCAUGUUGUUUCCUUGUACAAGGUAAGCGCAAGCAUUCAACUCUCAAACUUUGAAGUGGUGCAAGAUGAAGCCGAUGAGUUUGCCAUGAUUGAAGAUGAAGAACCUCGAGAGCUUUAUUGAAGAUUAACUACUCUCGCGGUCUCACUCCGAGAUCAUGGGAGCAAGGAUAUGGAUGACAAUUAGAUAAAACACAAGUUUCUCAAGGCCAUGAUGCCUUACCACAAGGCCAUGUCCUUCGUCAUCCGUCAAAGGCCGGACUUCCACGCCUUGUCCUCAAGUGAAGUGUUGGAUGAGUUUGUUGCAAUGAGGAUCUUGGACAAGACCGCCGACAAUGCGAUGUUGUGUGCUCAACGGUCAAAGAAUCCCAACCUUGCUUUGAAGGCCAAGGCUAGUGUGGAAGAAAAGGAUGAAGAGGAAGAAGAGGAGAGUUACCUCGAAGACACCAACUAUGCCUAUCAUGAGCACAUGGCUCUUGCUUCACGGCAAUUUUGGGGAAACAAAAAGAACACAGGGCCCAACUUCAACAAGAACAACUCAAGUGGCGCCAAGGGCAAGCAAUGUGUGAGGACAUGCUAUAAUUGUGGCAAUGUGAGUCACUUUGUUGUGGAUUGCCCUUACGAUAAGAGGGAAGACAAUGGUGUCAAGCUUAUCCGAAAAGACAAGGCCAAGUCUUUCCCCAACAAGAACAACUUCACCAAGAAGACCCCUCCCAAGGGUUUGGUGGCACAAGAAGAGUACAAUGAGGAUCAUGAAGAUGGUGAGACGGUUUCCAUGGCCCCCGUUGCCAUUGCAACAACUCCACGGGUGUCCCUCUUCGAUUCACCCAACGAGAACAUCACCGCCAAGUGCCUCAUGGCUAAAGCCACCAACAAGGUAACCCCCAACAUCAAGGCUACCAUCACUAGUAAUCCUUCCUUGACGGAUUGCAUUGAUGAAAGUGAGGGGGCGAAGGAGGAGGAGAAUGAAUUUGAGUCUUUCAUGGGAAAGCUCAAAGGUAAAACCAAGAAGCACUUCAUUGCUCUCUUGGAACAACUUGGUGAAGCCAAUGACAUGAUCGAGGAUCACGAAGAGACCAUCUCUAAGAUGGAAGAGCAUAGUCGCGACUAUGUCGAUGAGAUACCGGAUCUCUCUAAUGCGCUUGAGGAAGAGUGUGUUCAUCGUUUGGCUCUUGAGGGGUCACAGAAUGAUGAUCAUGCUAAAUUAAAGAAAGAUCUUGAUCAUGCUCUUGUUGUCUCUCGUGUGUUCAAUUUCGAGAAGGCCAAACUUGGGGUUAACCAUGCUAGACUCGAGGAGGAGUUUGAUCUACUUGACAAGGCUCACAAGGCCUUGAAAGUGUUCAUGCUAGCCUCAAAGAGUCUCAUGAUCAACUCCAAGUGAGGCUAACCAAGGAGAAAGCCAAAUUUCCUCAUAUGGUUUUAAAUGAUAAUGCAAAUGCUACUAACUCGUGUUGUGAGCAUGUGCAUCUUCUGGAGGAGAAUGCCAAGUUGAAGGAGAAACUUGAGAAAGGCCUUGCGUCUUGCAUACAAGGUGAGAAUAACCUGAACGACCUUUCGAUCAAUCAAAAGGAAGUUGUAGCCAAGGAGGGGACUGGGUUUGCACCCAAGUCCAAGAAGAAGAAGAAUGACAAGACCAAACAACCUCCUCCUCUCAAGCAAAGGUUUGUGAAGGAGGGAGACAGUACUCCUAAGGAGAAGAAGAAUAAUGCGAAGGGUGGUGGUGUCAAGAAGGGCAAUGCCACUCCUUCCAACAAAGCUAGUGACUUUAACUUUUCUUAUGUGUUAUGCCGUGCUAGUGAUGGGCAUGUUUAUGCCAAAUUUGCUGGUUAUUCUUAUGAGUACAUUGAAUGGUUUAUUUGGGUUCCUAAGAUCCUUGUUGCUAACAUCAAAGGACCCAUUACAAAAUGGAUACCUAAAACUAAGCAUUGAUCUCUUGUAGGUAUUUGCUUCCGGUGGGGGAUCAUGGUUGCUCGAUAGUGGAGCCACAAAUCAUAUGAUCGGAAGCAAGGAAUUGGUGGUGAACGCCCACAAGGUUUCAUCUAUGCCCACCAAUGUCGAAAGGGGUGAUGCCUCAUCUUCUAAGGUAUUGGGUUUUGGCAAGGUUGUCAUUUCUCAUGAUCUCACGAUCGAGAAAGUCAUGCUUGUUGAGUCCCUUGCAUACAACUUACCUUCGGUUCGUCAACUUGCGCUCAUGGGCUUUGCCACUUUCUUUGAUAUUGAUUCUGUGUCCCUCUUGUGGAGCAAAACUCUUAAAGUAGCUUUUGUUGGGCAUGUCGAGAACGGUCUUUAUGUGAUUAACUUUUUAGAGCAACCCAUUAAGACCGCGACAUGCCUAAUGGCUAAAGUUGACGUGGGAUGGCUUUGGCAUCACCGUUUAGCCCAUGUCAAUAUGAGAUCUUUGCAAAGUCUUCUCAAGGGGACCCUAUCAUUGGACUAACAAAUGUUAGUUUUGCCAAAGAUCGUGCUUGAAGUGCUUGUAUCGAAGGAAAGCUACAUGAGACGCAGUGGCGAAGCCACGUUACACCUAUGCAGUCGAUUGACUACACAUGAUUCUUGUAUGUCAUUGACCCCCAGGUCCACAUGCCACGUAAAUGAACGAACCAAAAAGGGAAUUUGACUACGUGGCCUAUCUACCAUCUGCUAUUUUGCUUGGGUUAAGACUAGUUGGGCCACUACUGGGCCAUAUAGUAAGAAGUCGAAAAUCACUUCCCUCACGGCCAUUUUUACUCAAAAAUAAAACUAACCUCAUAGUUGAUCCCCAAAUUACAUGAUCUCCUUCAACUACUCCAGCUACCGCAUGCCUAUCCAAUGAGCGUCGAUAGCCGCCGCAGCGUGCGUCUUCCCAUCCUUUGUCAGACGUUGACGAUCUCUAAUCUGACCAUGAGAUGUGAGGAACGACCCCCUCCGGCGAGCCACGGCCACCUACCCACGGUUGCACACUCAUUGUCCGUCACCUUGAUCACUACUUUCACACUAGUCGGCACUCUAUAUCCUAUCCAACACCAGGAGGAGGCCCUCCACUCUCCCACUUUUAUUUGUAAGUUUUAUCUGCCAACACUGCAAUACUAUUCCUUGUCUUUUUUUUUUCUCGCAAGCAAUAUUAAAAAGUAAGAAUUUUUUUGUUUAGAAUAAGAAUUGCAUUUUUCGCGAUGAAAUAUAUCACGUUGAUUUCUGCAACAGGAAUAGGCGACGAUCUAUUGUAUUGUUGUCUCAUUACAUAUGUUGAAACUGAUAUAUUCAAGUCUAAUGCCGACCCCUUCACGAUAUGCAUGAUCACAAAGGGCUGCUACAUAAUAUAUGCUGGUAGUAAAGUAUGAUAUUUAUGUUCCUGUUUAAUUUGUCUAUAAAUAUUUCCAUUAGAAUUGCUUGACAUCACAAGGUUUUGAUCCUGGCACCACCACUGAUGAGACGGCUCACCCUCACUAUCAUCUACUCGGCGAGGCCUUUUGAGCUCCUUCACAUGGAUCUUUUUGGGCCUCCGUCCUUUGAUAGUCUUGGGGGUAGAAAGUAUUGCUUGGUGAUUGUGGAUGAUUAUUCAAGAUACACUUGGGUGUACUUCAAGAGGAAGAGUGAGACCCAAGAAACCGUCAUCGACUUUGCAAAUGGAGCUCAGCGUCAACACAAUGCAAAGAUUUUAGUGAUAAGAAAUGACAACGGCACUGAGUUCAAGAACAACACCUUGGAUGAGUUUCUUAGUGAUGAGGGGAUCAAGCAUCAAUAUUCCGCACCUUACACCCCUCAACAAAAUGGUGUAGCGAAGAGGAAGAACCAGACAUUGAUGGAUGCGGCAAGGACCAUGAUGGAGGAGUUCAAGUCUCCGUACAACUUUUGGGCCGAAGCCAUCAACACCACUUGUCAUGCAUCCAAUCGACUCUAUCUCCGCAAAGGCUUUAACAAGACUCCAUAUGAGAUACUUACCGGCAACAAGCCCAACCUCAAGUAUUUCCAGGUGUUCGGUUGUGAGUGUUUCAUUCUCAAGAAAGGUGUUCGUUUGUCUAAAUUUGAGGCUAAAGCUCAUGAGGGCAUAUUUGUUGGUUGUGCUACAAACUCUCAUGCUUACCAUGUCCUCAACAAGUCCACAUGACUCAUUGAGGAGACGUGUAACAUGGAGUUUGAUGAGAAUAACGGCUCCCAAGUGGAGAAAAGUGGUACUUGUGAUGUAGGUGAUGAAAUUCCUCCCCAAGCCAUAAGAAGAAUGGGUGGUGGCCAUAUCCUACCCAUUGAGGAACCCCUUGUGGUCAAAGGAGAAGGACAAUGUUCCACUCAAGUGGAACCAUCACCAACCCAAGACCCACACACUUCUGAAGAACAAAGUGAAGGCCCUCAACCAAAUGAACAAGAUCAAGGACAAGAUCAACCUCAAGAUGGUGGAGAUCCACCAAUUGAUGCCCAAGGUCAAGUUCUUGCUACCGAGAAAGUUCAAGAUCAAGAUCGAGCUCAAGCUCAAGAAUAAGCUCAAGACUUACAGCUCCUCAACUCUCUGUUGAGGAGCAACUGGAGCGUCGUGCCGCGAAGAUUGCUUCCAAGCUCGCUACCAAAGAGAAUCUCAUGAAGAAUGUGCUUGGAAGCUUAAGAAAGGGGGUAAGCACUCCUAGAAAAUUAGCAAACUACUGUGAACAUCAUGUGUUUGUUUCUUGUGUUGAACCCCCAAAAGUCUAUGAGGCGCUUGAGGAUCCGGAUUGGCUUAAUGCCAUGCAUGAAGAACUCAACAACUUUGAGUGCAACAAGGUAUGGGGAUUGGUGCCAAGGCCAAAGGAGAACCAUAAUGUCAUUGGAACCAAAUGGAUCUUCAAGAACAAGCAAGAUGCUCACGGGAUUGUCAUUUGCAACAAGGCUCGUUUGGUGGCACAAGGCUACUCCCAAGUCAAGGGUAUCGACUAAGGUGAAACCUUUGCUCCCAUUGCUCGCCUUGAAUCUAUUCGUUUGUUGCUUGCUUAUGCUUCUCAUCACAACUUCAAGUUGCAACAAAUGGAUGUGAAGAGUGCUUUUCUUAAUGGUCCUCUUAAUGAGUUGGUGUAUGUCAAACAACCCCUGGGGUUUGAGGAUCCCAAGCUCCCCAAUCACGUGUACCAACUCGAUAAGGCGCUCUAUGGCCUUAAACAAGCCCCAUGUGCAUGGUAUGACCACCUUACCGAGUUGUUGCAAGAUCGUGGGUUUGAAAUUGGGAAAAUUGACCCCACUAUUUUUACUAAGAAGGUCAAACGGGAGUUGUUUGUAUGCCCACUAUAUGUUGAUGAUAUUAUCUUUGGUUCUCCUAACAAAGCUUUCAAUGAGGAGUUUGUCGCACUCAUGACUACAGAGUUUGAGAUGUCCAUGAUGGGAGAGUUGAAGUUAUUUUUUGGGUUCGAAGUCAAACAAAGAAGAGAAGGAAUCUUCAUAAACCAAGACAAAUACACUCAAGACAUGCUCAAGAGAUUCAAGCCGAGUGAUGUCAACCGGCGUCUACACUAAUGCCUACCAAAUGCCACUUGACAUUGAUCCCAAUGGUAAAGCGGUGGAUCAAAAGGUAUAUCGUUCUAUGAUUGGCUCCUUGCUUUACUUUUGUGCAUCUGGACCAGAUAUCGUGUGGAGUGUGGGAAUUUGUGCACGGUUUCAAGCCUCACCUAAGGAAAGCCACUACAUGGUGGUCAAGUGAAUCUUUCGAUAUUUGGCUCAUACCCCAAACCUUGGCUUAUGGUACCCUAGAGGAGUAAACUUCAAUCUUGUGGAAUUUUCGGAUUCGGAUUGAGCGUGAGACAAAAGUGGAUAGGAAGUCACCUUCCGGAGGGUGCCAAUUUCUUGGUUUGUCUUUGGUGAGUUGGUCUUCUAAGAAGCAAAGUUGUGUGUCUCUCUCCUCCACCGAAGCCGAAUAUGUGGCCGCCGGUAGUUGUUGUGCUCAACUUCUAUGGAUGAGGCAAACUUUAAAGGAUUAUGGUGUCACUUGUGACAAAGUGCCUCUUUGGUGUGACAAUGAAAGUGCCAUCAAGAUUUCUCUCAACCCGGGGAAACACUUCAAGACGAAGCAUAUUGAGAUUCGGCAUCACUUCAUCCGGGAUCACAUUAAGCGAGGGGAGAUUGAUCUUAACUAUGUCAACACUCAUGAUAACCUUGCAUAUAUUUUCAUGAAGCCUUUGGAUGAAGCAAGAUUUCGCAAGUUAAGGCAUGAGCUAAAUAUCAUCGAUUUGAGCAAUGUGGCCUGAACCUUUGCACACCCCACCAUACUCAUCAUGUUGUCUUGUUUAGGUGUAGGCACGGACAUAGGGGGAGUGUUGUUCUCUCAAUGAACUCUCCCUCCCCCAUUAUGCAUAAAUUGAUCAACUCUUUCACAUUUACAAUUUUUUAUGGUACUUGUGCUUCAAAGACGAGUUUUGGUCAUGGGCCCAAGGCUAAUUCUUUGCGAUACCAUACCAAUUGACUCAAACAUAGGUGGAUCUGGCCACCGCCCUCUCUUCAAUGAGAGGUUUUAGUUCGUUGUUUGGUCCUCAUUUUCUCUUUGCUUACCUUUUAGACCUUGUUUGUGGUUAAGUUGCUUCUUUGGUGCUCUCUCUUGUGUGUCCUUUUGCUUGAAGCUCUUUGUUUUUUCGUCGUGCCUUUGUGUCUCCCAUUUUCCUUAGCUUGUUUGUGUUGCAAAUGCCGGUUCAUUUCUCUCUAACCAAAACAUGCACUUUCUUGGGCAUGCGGUACUACAGUGUGGCAUGCCAUGGUACUACCGCUGGAGGUGGGUGGCUCUUGUACUUGCAUAGCUACGACCACAGCACGGUAUUACCACCUCCAGCACGGCAGUAAAUUUUUACUGCCGCUAGAAGAGCAGUACUACCACCCAAUGUGCGGUACUACCGCCCGGGCUGUACUACCGUGAUGACCUGCGGUACUACCGUGCUGUCGUGACCGCAUGGGGGUUAAGCACGGGCAGGGGGAGUUCCAACUCCCCCAUACCCAUUCAUCUCUUCCCCUCACGUCUCUCUCUCCUACCCAAUAAUGUCGGCGGAGGACCUCGUCGGAUCUCCAUCUUCGGCCACUCUCCUCUCAUUUCCACCGGUGGGAUCGUUCCCCACCUUGUCCUCUUGCCAUGGAACCCGGUAUCUCCCCUAGUCCUUCUCUCUUUGCCUUUUUUUUGCAUCUAGGUUUUGGGGGAAAUAUGAGUUGGUCUUGUGAUUUUUGGCUAAAUCUUUGCAAGAGGAGAUAGUUGGAGAGUGCUUGUGUAGUAGAUAUGUUUUUUUGGUGUGAUACAACAACGUAGUUUUUGAUCGAUGGUAGUACCAUUUUCUAUUUAUGGAUGUUCUCAGAUCCGUUUGUGCGAGAUCCUCCCCGUGUGGUACUACCGCUCCGCCUGAGCAAGGUACUAUCGCUGGCCCCUGUGGUACUAUCGUGGUCAGAGCAGUAGUAAAAUUUUACUUCCGCGCCCAGUUCAGUACUACCGAUUGACUUAAAAUUAUUUUGUUUUGUCACAUCCAAUCUCAUUUCUAGUUGUUUCAUUUAUUGGCCUUGGUCUUUGCAAUAAUCCUUCUUGCUCUUCUCGCGUGUUUGCGUUGUGUGUCAUAGGUGGUGGCUCCGGUUCCGUUGCUAGGCGCUUGAAUGCCAUCCAUGAUACAAGCUCACAACAUCUUCGCAACUAAGAAGCUCCUGAGGGGUCCAAUGCGCCAACAUGCCACUUCAAGACAACAACCACCAAGAUCAAGGAGCCAGUUGUCAUCCUGGACGACAUGCCUCUACCAGACUUUCAGCUUCGAAGGAAGCUCAACCCCUAUAUCAAGCCUCGAGAACAAAUAAGGGGCAAUGACUUCUUUUGGACCAAGCAACAAAAUCUCAUCUACCUAGAUGUGAUCAAGGCCAAGCAGAACAUCUACAUACCCAUUCAUUGGAUUGAUAUGGAGCAUCUGAGGAAGAACCAGGCAUAUUUUGGUGAGCCUCUGGAUUUGGUGGAGCAGUUUGGUAUUGAAGAGAUCAUCACGUUCCACCUUGACUAUGACCCAGAGAUUGUGGCUCAGUUUUUUGCUUCUGUCCAUUUCCACUCGGAUGUGAAGUGGAGCAUGACUUGGAUGACAAAUGGAAAGAAGACGACCGCUGAGUGGAAGGAGUUCAUGGAUAUGUUGCACAUUCAUGAUGAGGGGCUAGAUGUGCCUGUUGGUAUCCGCCCGCAUGCCAACCCAAAGUCCGCUUCCAAGAACAAGUUUCAACCAUACCUGGUGGAGAAUAAUUUACCCAAUGGCAAGAAGUCUUAUGUGCUGAACCCAUUUCUCAACAUCAUGCACCGGAUCUUUCGCAGCUCUCUUUUUCCUCACAUGGGCGACAAGGACAAGGUGCAUUCCUAUCUUAUGGACAUGAUUCUUAUUUGUGAGGAAGCGCCUCUUCGACAACCUGGACCACUUGAUGUCUCUCACAUCAUGUGGUGUGAGCUUUAGUCUGCUGUGUUCCAUCGUAAGGUUACCAUCUAUGGACCCUAUUUGCACCUCUUAAUUUAGAAGACUUGGGAGAAGCUCUUUUCGGGUGAGGAGUUUCAUGCUCUCAACUGGUUUCGCCAUGAGCCCAUUAAGCUGCGAUAGAAGAACAAGUGGGCUAACACCACUACCCGGGCUAAAGCAGAGGCUGCCCGCAUGGAUAUUGAUGAAGAUGAGAUUGCGGAGGAGGAGGAGGACAGUUCUGAGUAUGAGCCUCCCUCCUCAUCUUGGGCUUCGAAGCUCAAGGACAGGGUGGAGACUGUUAUGCAUAUAGGCCAAGGGGCAGUACCAGACCCAUGUUGCUCAGAAGGAGAGUCGCCAGCACGACAAGCGGAUUUUGAGGACGCUUGGCGAGCAUGUCUCAAGUGGGUCUAAGAAGACCAUCACACCUGAGGCUGCUUGGAUGAAGAAGAAGGGAUAUCAGUGGGUUGAGCCAGAUGAGGAGUCCAUUCCUGCUGCUUCUGAGGAGGAGAUUGUUGGGUGAUCACUACAGUAGGAGCUACCACCCGUGUCUUAGGUGUCCUCUCUGCCUUUUUAGUGUCUCGAUGCCAAAGGGGGAGAGAGUGUAGGAUUUGCGAGUACUUUGUUUUGUCUCCUUGCUUUCGUUGAACAUUUGUCGUUGCUUUGGUUUGUGUUAUUUUCGUGUGAGAUUGGAGACUUAUUCUAUCAUACGGUGUGAGACAUAUGCCUUCACUCUUAUCCUUUUAUUGUCAAGUAGAUUAGUAGCUUGUGAGUUUAUUUUGUCUUGUGCCCUUAUUAUCAUGCUCACUUGCUAUACCUUGCUUACAUGCUUAGUGUCUCUCAUCUUGUUGCAAGGAUUGCCUUGUCUAUAAAAUAUAGGGGGAAUGUUGAUCCUAGUGUGUGUGUUUUGCAGUUCAAAGCAUAUCUAUAGAAUGCACACAUCUAGGGGGAGCCUAUCUAUAUUUUAUAGAUUUUGGGUUUGCUUAUGCUCAUUAUAUAUCUCUAUGUGCAAAUCCCGUAUUGUCAUCAAUCCACCAAAAAGGGGGAGAUUGUAAGGGCAUAUUUCUCCCUAAGUGGUUUUGCUGAUUGAUGACAAUGCAUUUGCGGACUAAUCUUGUGCAUUGAGCAUUUCAGAUAUCUCAUGUCUAGGCACAAGACAAUUCGGUGCCCCUCGGAGCCUAUCGAAGACAGUUGUUCUCUACGUUUCUUUUUGGUGGAUUUGAGUCGUAGGAAAGCCGUACUAUUAAGAGGGGGUCCGCUUUGGAAAGGUUAGGGUGGAAUCAACACGUACACAUCUGGUCCUUUGCACCACCUUUCCUUCGCUUCGAUGGAGCACCAUCCGUUUAUCCAAGUCUCUACGAUAUGAAGGCAGCCAAAUGCAAAGCUUCUGUGGCCUGCAGUAGUACUGCUCAAGGGAGCGGUAGUACCACAGGGGCAAGCGGUAGUACCGCUACCUACAGCCAUGAAGCUGAUACAUGCGAAAGUAGGCGCAGAUGUAAUUUUUUAGUUCCGCCCUUACGCGGUAGUACCGCAACGGCUGUCCGGUACUACCGUGCCGGACUUUUGCACAGUUCCAACCUCAACGAAAGUUGUUACGUAAGUGCCAAUUGAUACCUGCCUUACGGUAGUACCAUAGGGGCACGUGGUAGUACCGCUCCGGCGGUUCUACCGCUCAUUGCCUUGUGCAACAUGCCCUCAUCUGGUCACUACCGCACAAGCGGUAGUGCCGCACUCUGCAGCGGUAGUACCAUAACCCUAUGUGGUAGUACCGCGUCCUUGUGCAGUAGUACCGCGUCGCGCGGGCUGAGAGAGGGGAUAAUGGUUGGAUCUUUUCCCCUACAAUAUAAAGGGGGUCUUCUUCCCGAAGAAGACCACAUCUUCUCUCCCCAAGCUCCAUUAUUGCUCAAACCUCCAUUUUCACCUGAUCUCUCUCCCUAGCCAAUCAAAUUGUUGAUUUUCUAGGGAUUGGUUGAGAAGGCCCGAUCUACACUUCCACCAAAAGAAAUUUGAUUCCCCCGCCUAAUCCCUUAUGGAUCUUGUUACUCUAGGGUGUUUGAGCACCCUAGACGGUUGAGGUCACCUCGGAGCCAUAUUCCAUUAUGGUGAAGCUUCAUGGUGUCGUUGGGAGCCUCCAAUUAAGUUGCAGAGAUAGCCCCAACCUUGUUUGUAAAGGUUUGGUUGCCGCCUUCAAGGGCACCAAUAGUGGAAUCACGACAUCUCACAUUGUGUGAGGGCACGAGGAGAAUACGGUGGCCCUAGUGCCUUCUUGGGGAGCAUUGUGCCUCCACACCGCUCCAACGGAGACGUACUUCCUCUCAAAGGGAAGGAACUUCAGUAAGACAUCGUCUCCACUGGCUCCACUCUUGGUUAUCUCUUACCUUUACUUGUCCAAGCUUUUAUUGUGUUGUAUCCCUUGCUUUCUUGUGUGCUUGUUCUUGUUGCAUCAUAUAGGUUGCUCACCUAGUUUCACAUCUAGAUAACCUACUUUGAUGCUACGUUUAAUUUGGUAAAGAAAAGCUAAAAAUUGUUAGUUGCCUAUUCACCCCCCUCUAGUCAACCAUAUCGAUCCUUUCAACAUAUGUGAGAUAUUGCUUGUCUUGAUAAUUUGUUUUCCUAUAAAAUGCCUAUGCAUAGGAAGUAUGUUCGACUUAAAUGUGGAUUUUACAUGUUUUAUGAUGCUUUCUUUGUGCUUCAAUUCUUGUCUUUCAUGCGAGCAUCAUUGAAAUCUCAAGCCUAUCUUAAUGCUAUAAAGAAAGAGCUUGUUGGGAGGCAACCCAAUAGUUAUAAUUUUGCUUUUUAUUUCUGUUUUAGGUUUUGACAUGAUUAUUUCUACUAUAAUGAUUGUGUUUUUAUGUUAGUGUUUGUGCCAAGUAAAUCCUUUGGGAUGAUUUGGAUAAUAGUUGACUUGAUUCCGUGAAAAAAUAGAAACUUUUCCGUCCAGUGCUGGAAUUACUAUAAUUCACUGGCACGUGAUAAAAUCCUAAAUUAAAAAAAAGAUUGAUAUACAAAUUUCCCACGUUGUCCUAAUUUGUUAGAAUUUUUGGAGUUAAAGAAGUAUAGUUUUUGUUCAGAUCAUUACAGACUGUUCUGUUUUAGACAGAUUCUGUUUUCUAUUGCAUAGUGUGCUUGUUUUAGUGAUGCUAUGGAUUAUAUCGGGGGGUAUACAUCAUGGAGAAGUUAGAAUAUAGUAGGUAUUACACAAGAAUAAAUUAUGAAUGAGUUUAUAAUAGUACAUAAAGUUUAUUAUUUGUCUAUUACACUAUGGAUCUCACAAGGUUUUUGUUGGGUUCUCUGUGCUGAAGUUUUCAUGUUUUGGGUGAGAUCACGAUGGAUGAAGGAAUAAGUAGCGGCAAGAACCUAAGCUUGGGGAUGUCCAAGGCACCCCAAGGUAAUAUUCAAGGAAGACACAAGCGUCUAAGCUUGGGGAUGCCCAUGAUGGCAUCCCCUCUUCCGUCUACAAUCUAUCAGUAUGUUACUUGGAGCUACAUUUUAUUCAUCACAUGAUAUGAAUUUUGCUUGGAGCGUCUUGCGCCAUUGUUUUUGCUUUGUUUGCUUUUUAGUUUGCCAUAAUCAUUGUUUGCUGGACACACCUUUUGAGAGGGACACACAUUUAUCGUUAUUUUUUAGAAUACUCUAUGUGCUUUACUUAUAUCUUUGGAGCUAGACAGUUGCUCAAGUGCUUCACUUAUAUCUUUUAGAGCACGUAGUGGUUAUAUUUUAUAGAAAUGGUUGCACUCUCAUGCUUCACUUAAAUUGUUUUGACAGUCUAUGAAUGGUAGUUCAUAAUUUGCAUGUGUUAUAAGAUUAGUCCAAGAAGGAUUGAUGCACGAACCAAUAUAGGCAACCAAUAUAUCAGCACAUUUAAGAUUUCUAGCCAUACUUUGCUUAACUAACCAGUUGCUAGAAAUGGUAGAUAUUGUUGCCCCAGUAAAAAAUUCUAAGGAUGCAAUAGGAAAAGUUCUAGAAGUUCAAAAACGCAGAAAAAGGGUUUUCUGAACAGAUUCUAAACCAAAAUAUAGAGUAUCAAAUUGCAUCUGCUAGGAUUGGUACCGGUCCUAAGACUGAUGAACGUGACACAGUUACCUUUCCAAAAUUUGCUAGCCUCUUCGAUACCGUGCAUUGCCCUUUCUCACCUCGAGAGUUGGUGCAAACUUCGUGAGUGCAUCCAAACCCUGUGGUAUGAUAUGAUGUAUCACACAUAAUCCUCCUUAUAUCUUCCUCAAAACAACCACCAUACCUACCUAUUAUAGCAUUUCCAUAGCCAUUACGAUAUAUAUUGCCAUGCAACUUCCACCAUUCGGUGUUACUACUCGUGUGUUCAUCGUCAUAUUGCUUUGCAUGAUCAUGUAGAGCAUACAUGAUAUUUGCGGCACAACCACCAUUCAUCACUAUUAUACAUGUUAUGCUAGAUCAUUGCACAUCAUGGUACACUGCCAAAGGCAUUCAUAUAGAGUCAUAUUGUUUCAGUUAUCGAGUUGUAAUAUUGAGUUUUAAGUAAAUAAAAGUGAGAUGAUCAUCAUUAUUAGAGCAUUUUCCUAGUGAGGAAAGGAUGAUGGAUACUAUGGUUCUCCCACAAGUCGGGAUGAGACCCCAAAUGAAAAAUAAAAAAAGGAAAAAUAAAAAGAAAGAAAGUAAAAAAGAAUGAAAUGAGAGAAAAGGGAGAAGGGGCUAUGUUUACUAUCCAUUUACCACACUUGUGCUUCAGAGUAGCACCACGUUCCUUCAUAUAGAGAGUCUCCAAAGUUAUCACUUUCAUAUACUAGUGAGAAUUUUUCAUUAUAGAACUUGGCUUGUAUAUUUCGACGAUGGGCUUCCUCAAAUGCCAGAGGUCUUCAUGAGCAAGCAAGUUGGAUGCACACCCACUUAGUUUCCGUUGAGCUUUAAUACACUUAUAGUUCUUAGUGCAUAUGUUGCAUGGCAAUCCAUACUCCUCGCAUUGACAUUGAUUGAUGGGCCUCUCCAGCCCGUUGAUCAGCCGCGUUGAUGUGAGACUUUCUUCCUUUUUGACUUCCCUUAUUGAUAUCUACCACCGCAUUCUAUUCCAGCUAUAUUGCUAUAUCCAUGACCCACGCUCAUGUAUUGCGUGGGGCUGAAAAUGCUAAAGCGCGUUAGAAGUACGAUCCAAUUGACUAGUUUGACACCGAGGUGCUUGAUACUUCUCCAACAUAUCUAUAAUUUUUUAUUGUUCCAUGCUAUUAUAGUAUCAAUCUUGGAUGUUUGUUAUGACGUUAUAUAUCAUUUUUGGGACUAACCCAUUUCCAAGUGCCAGUUGCUGUUUUUUGCUUGUUUUUGGCUUUACAGGAAAUCAAUAUAAAACAGAGUCCAAACUGAGAAAAAACUUUGGAUAAUUUUUUCUGGACCAGAAGGGACCCUGGAAGGUUCGGGAGAAGACUCGAUGAGCCGUGAGGGAGCAACAAGCUCGGGAGGCACGCCCCAAGGGGGGGGGGGGCAGCGCCCCCAGGUUUGUGGGCUCCUCGUGGCACCUCUUAACCUAAUUCCACCUCUAUAAAUUCUCAAAUAUUCCCCAUACAUCAGAGAGCAACCCAAAAUACUUUUUCUACCACCACAAGUUUCUGUUGUCGCGAGAUCCCAUCUACAGACCUUUUCCAGCACUCUGCCGGAGGGGGAAUUGAUCACAGAGGGAUUCUACACCAACCUUGCCGCCCCUUCGAUGAUGUGUGAGUAGUUUACCAUAGACCUAUGGGUCCAUAGCUAGUAGCUAGAUGGCUUCUUCUCUCUCUUUUAUCUUCAAUACAAUGUUCUCCUCGAUGUUCUUGGAGAUCUAUUCGAUGUUAUCCUUUUUGCGGUGUGUUUGUUGGGAUCCGAUGAAUUGUUGGUUUAUGAUAACAUUAUCCAUGAAUAUUAUUUGAGUCUUCUCUGAAAUCUUUUAUGCAUGAUUGUUAUAGCUUUGUAUUUCUCUCUGAUUUAUCUGUUUGGUUUGGCCAAAUAGAUUGAUUUAUCUUGUAAUGGGAGAGGUGCUUUGUGAUGGGUUCGAUCUUGCGUUGAUCAAUCCCGACAGAAAGGUACAUGACACGUACUUGUAUCAUUGCCAUUAAGGAUAAAAAUAUGGGGUUUAUUCAUAUUGAUUGGAUUUACUUUGUCUACAUCAUAUCAUCUUGCUUACGGUGUUACUCCAUUCUUUAUGAACUUAACACUCUAGAUGCUUGCUGGAUAGUGGUCGAUGUGUGGAGUACUAGUAGUAGAUGCAGGCGGGAGUCGGUCUACUUGUCUCCAAUGUGAUGCCUAUAUACAUGAGCAUUUCCUUGGAUAUCAUCAUGAUUAUUGGCUUUUCUACCAACUGCCCAACAGUAAUUUGUUUACCCACCGUAUGUAUGUUCAAGAGAGAAGCCUCUAGUGAAAACUAUGCCCCUGGGUCUAUUUUAAUCAUAUAUUAAAAUCUAAAAAUACCUUGCUGCAAUUUAUUUACCUUUAUUUUAUUUUGUGUUUUUAUCAUCUAUCUAUCAUUACGAGAUUUGAUCCUUGCAAUUAACUGCUUAGGGAUUGACAACCCCUUGUUUACGUUGGGUGCAAGUAUUUGUUAUGUUGUGUGUAGGUACUGCUAACGAGGUGUUGUGUGGUUCUCCUACUAGAUUGAUAACCUUGGUUCUUAAGUGAGGAAAAUAUAUAUCUCUACUGUACUGCAUCAUCCCCUCCUCUUCAAGGAAAUCCUUGUGAAGCUCACAAGUAGCAGGAAGAAUUUCUGGCACCGUUACCGGGGGACAUCAUCAACAUCUAUCAAGUACCAUCUCAUAAAAUUUCAUCUCCUUGUAUUUACUUCUAUUUCCCAUUUUCUUCUCGUUUUCAUCUCCCCCACUUCUAAAAUGUUUUCACAAAAACAGAUAAAUAUUUUCCAUUUGCCUUUUUUUGCUUUCUUGCUUGCUUUCUUGCGAUGUCUCAAGAAAAUUACUAUGAUAUCUCUUGUCAUAAAAGGUUGGCUGAAAUUGAGAAAAAUACUAAGGACUUCAUGUUUACGCAAUUUGAGCACAAUAAUUUUUUUACCGAUGAGCUUAAGGAACCCUCUACCUUAUUAGAUGCUAUUGAAAAAAAACUCAGUGAUGUUAAUGAAGAAUUUGACGAUCUUCAAUCUCAGCUUGCUCUUACUAAAAAUUUGCUAGGAAAAAUUUCAAUGCACAAACUACACUAGUAAACUAGGUGGUAGCUAAGCCGGAAUCUUUAGCAUUUGUUCAUGAUGAAGAUAUUAAAAUGAUUGGUGUUACACCCAUUGAAUAUUUGUUUAGUAAUUUAAAACUUUAUGAAAAGGGGUCUGGACAAGAGUCAACUUUAGCUAGAAGGCGUCCCCAUUGUUCGGAGGGUGAAAAUCUUAAUGAAAAAUUGAUAAAAGUGGGUUUGGAGAGGUUAAAACUUUAAAUAGUGAUGUUUCCACUUUUUCGGAUUUCAAGGAUUUUAAUUAUGAUAUCUGUUCUUCCAUUGAGUGUAUUUCCUUGUUGCAAUCCAUGCUAAAUUCACCCAAUUCUUAUGAACAAAUAAGGCUUUUACUAAACAUAUCGUAGAAGCUAUGAUGAAAGCUUUAGAAGAAAAGAUAGAAUUGGAGGUUUCAAUACCUAGGAAACUAAAUGAUGAGUGGGAACCUACCACUAAAGUUAAAAUUAAAAAUUAUGAGUGAAAUGCUUUAUCUGAUUUGGGUGCUAGCGUUUCCACAAUACCAAAGUCUUUAUGUGAUAUGCUAGGCUAUACUAAUAUGGAUGAAUGUUCUCUUAAUUUGCACUUAGCGGAUUCCACUAUUAAGAAACCUUUGGGUAGAAUAAAUGAUGUUAUUAUUCUUGCAAAUAGGAAUUAUGUGCCCGUUGAUUUCACUAUGCUUGAUAUUGAUUGUGAUCCAUCUUGUCCCAUAGUACCUGGUAGGCCUUUCCUAUGAACCAUAGGUGCUAUUGAUAUGAAAGAAGGUAAUAUAAAGUUUCAAUUUCCUUUAAAGAAGGAUAUGGAACACUUCCCUAGAAGAAGAUUAAGCCACCAUAUGAAUCUAUUAUGAGGACCACCUAUGGAGUUAAUUUGAAAGAUGAUAACACUUGAACUUAUGCAUUACGCCUAGCUAAGGGCGUAAAACAAUAUCGCUUUGUUGGAAGGCAACCCAAUAGUUCUCUUAAUUUUUAUUUUUAUUUUUCUAUUUUUGGUGUUGAUACGUCUCCAUCGUAUCUACUUUUCCAAACUCUUUUGCCCUUGUUUUGGACUCUAAUUUGCAUGAUUUGAAUGGAACUAACCCGGACCGACAUUGUUUUCAGCAGAAUUGCCAUGGUGUUAUUUUUGUGCAUAAAUCAAAGUUCUUGGAUUGACCUGAAAUUUAUGGAGAAUAUUUCUGGAAUAUAUAAAAAAUACUGGCAGAAAAAGAUACCAAAGGGGGGCCACCCAGGAGCCACAAGCCCCUAGGGGCGCGCCUCCCAGGCUUGUGGAGCACCUGGAGCUCCGGCAACCCUAAAUCCAACUCCAUAUAUACCUGUCCACGGAGAAAAAUUAGAGAGAAGGAUUCCUCGCAUUUACGAUAUGGAGCCGCCGCCACCGCCCGUUCUUCAUCGGGAAGGCUGAUCUGGAGUCCGUUCGGGGCUCCGGAGGGUGGAAUCCAUCGUCGUGAACGUCAACCUUCCUCCAUCACCAAUUUUAUGAUGCUCACCACCGGGAGUGAGUAAUUCCGUCGUAGGCUUCCUGGAUGAUGAUGGGUUGGAGAAGAUUUAUCAUGUAAUCAAGUUAGUUUUGUUAGGGCUUGAUCCCUAGUAUCCACUAUGUUCUGAGAUUAUGUUGCUAUAACUUUGCUAUGCUUAAUGCUUGUCACUAGGGCCCGGGUACCAUAGUUUCAGAUCUGAACCUAUUAUGUUUUCAUGAAUAUAUUUCUGUCCUUGAUCCUAUCUUGCAAGUUGUAUACACCUAUUACAAGUUAUGACCCGCAUACCCAAGGUGACGAUAAUUGGGAUUGUUUCUGGUGAUUACCGUAGUUUGAGGAGUUCAUGUAUUCACUAAGUGCUAAUGCUUUGUUCUGGUUCUCUAUUAAAAGGAGGCCUUAAUAUCCCUUUAGUUUCCUUAUGGACCCCGCUUCCAUGGGAGGGUAGGACAAAAGAUGUCAUGUAAGUUCUUUUCCAUAAGCACGCAUGACUAUAUACAGAAUACAUGCCUACAUUAUAUCGAUGAAUUGGAGGUAGUUCCGUGUCACCCUAGGUUAUGACUGCUACAUGAUGAAUAUUAUCCAACACAAUUAUCCAUUGCUGAUCCAAUUCCUACGAGCUUUUCACAUAUUGAUCUUUGGUAAGUUACUUUUGUCAUUGCUGCUAAUCACUACAAAACUACUACUAUUACUUUUGCUACUGUUACCGUUACUAUCAUACUACUUUGCUACUAAAUACUUUGAUGGAGAUAUUAAGUCUUCAAGGUGUGGUUAAAUUAACAACUCAACUGCUAAUACUUGUGAAUAUUCUUUGGCUCCCCUUUCGUCGAAUCAAUAAAUAUGGGUUGAAUACUCAAUCCUCGAAAACUGUCGCGAUCCUCUAUAAUUGUCGGUUAUCAAGAUGUGUGUAGACAAUUAUGCUACUGUUGUAGUUGUGUUUUUGUGUUUAAAUUAGUGUUUGUGCCAAGUAAAUCCUUUGGGACGAUUUGGAUGAAAGUUGCUUUGAUUCUGUGAGAAAACAAAACCUUUUGUGCCUAGUAACUGAAUUAUCUAAUUGACUGGUGCAUGAUAAAAUUCUGAACUUUUUACACAUGAUUGAUAUACAAAUUGCCCAUGUUGUCCUAAUUUUUCAGAAUUUUUGGAGUUACGGAAGUGUGAUAAUUGUUCAAAUCAUUACAGACUGUUCUGUUUUGACAGAUUUUUUUCGUUGCAUUGUUUGCUUGUUUUGUUGAAUCUAUGGGUUNNNNNNNNNNNNNNNNNNNNNNNNNNNNNNNNNNNNNNNNNNNNNNNNNNNNNNNNNNNNNNNNNNNNNNNNNNNNNNNNNNNNNNNNNNNNNNNNNNNNNNNNNNNNNNNNNNNNNNNNNNNNNNNNNNNNNNNNNNNNNNNNNNNNNNNNNNNNNNNNNNNNNNNNNNNNNNNNNNNNNNNNNNNNNNNNNNNNNNNNNNNNNNNNNNNNNNNNNNNNNNNNNNNNNNNNNNNNNNNNNNNNNNNNNNNNNNNNNNNNNNNNNNNNNNNNNNNNNNNNNNNNNNNNNNNNGGGGGGGGUAUAAGCCAUGGUGCAAUUAUAAUACAGUACAUAUUAUUUAAUAAUAAAAUAUGAAUGGGUUUACAACAGUACCUAAAGUGGUGAUUUGCUUGCUAUACUAACGGAUCUCACGAGUUUUCUGUUGAGUUUUGUGUGCUGAAGUUUUCAAGUUUUGAGUGAGUACGACGGUGGUUAUAUUUUAAAGAAAUAAUUGCACUCUCAUGCUUCACUUAUAUCAUUUUGAGAGUUUGUUGAAAAGUAAUGACAAUUAGUACGAGUUAUGAAUUUGGUCCUAAUAUGAUAGGUGUUCAAGAGGGAUAUAAAAAUCUUUCAUGUAGAUCACUGAAUAUGAUAAGUUUGAUUCCUUGUAAUAGUAUUGCGAUAUAAAGAUUGUGAUAUGUGGGAGGUACUAGUGAAUGAUUAUGGUUUAGUAAGAAUAUUGGUGUUAAGGCUUGUGAUUCCCGAGGCAUGCACGUAUAGUCUCUCGUUAUGCUAUGAAGUUGGAGCAUGAUUUAUCAUUGAUUAUCUUCCUUGUGAGUGGUGGCGGGUGUCGGUGUCAAAACCGGCGGAUCUCGGGUAGGGGGUCCCAAUCUGUGCAUCUAAGGCUAAUGGUAACAGGAGGCAAGGGACAUGAUGUUUUACCCAGGUUCAGGCCCUCUCGAUGGAGGUAAAACCCUACUUCCUGCUUGAUUGAUAUUGAUGAUAUGGGUAUUACAAGAGUUGAUCUACCACGAGAUCGUAGAGGCUAAACCCUAGAAGCUAGCCUAUGAUGAUUAUGGUUCUGAUCGUCCCUCUAAGGACUAAACCCUCCGGUUUAUAUAGACAUUGGAGAGGGCUAGGGUUUACAUGGAGUCGGUUACAAAGAAGGAAAUAUAAUAUUCGGAUCGCCAAGCUUGUCUUCCAUGCAAAGGAGAGUCCCAUCCGGACACGGGACGGAGUCUUGAGUCUUGUAUCUUCACGGUCCCACAGUCCAGCCAAGGUAUAUAGUCCGGCUGUCCGGAUACCCCCUAAUCCAGGACUCCCUCAGUAGCCCCUGAACUAGGCUUCAAUGACGAUGAGUCCGGUGCGCAGUUCUGUCUUCGGCAUUGCAAGGCGGGUUCCAUCUCCGAAUACUCCAUAGUAAUCACCGAACACUUAGAUCGUGUCCGGAUCUGCAAGAUGAUCUUCACAUACCACCGUAGAGAGAAUGAUAUUUCACAAGUGUAAUCUACUGACAACUUUAGACAUGACACUACGGUCGGGUCAUUAUUCGAACCGUUUUCCCACAACCAGCCAUAGCGCAUAUUGCGAGGCAGUUUCCUCGGCACGUCUUGCUGAAGCAGAGAUCAUGUCCCCUUAUUACGGGAUUCUCAUCAAUGCGGGUAUGGGUAGCCCAACCGCAUCGCUAAUUGUGGGGAACGAGUGGGUUCCACCAGGAAAGUGGGGAGGCGAAAAAAGCUUUUACCGCCUCUAUAAAGAGAUAAGGUCUCUUCCUUUUCACCCACGCCUUUUUCUUCCGCUAGUCCAUUCCCCUUUGCUCGAGCCCUAGCGCCCAAGCACUCUUCUUCUCCACCGAAGAGAGGUCCUACGAAGAUGUACAGAUCUGGAGCAGGAGGCAAAUGGAUGGCCUCUACCAUCCAGGAGAGGGAUAUCAAAAAGCUCCGAGAGGCCGGGUACUUGGCCAAGAAAAUCGGCCGCCAUCUUCCACCAGGGGACAGAUCGUCCCCACUCUGGAGCCCCACGAGAGGGUCGUGUUUCUUCCUCAUUUCGUCCGCGGGCUCGGGUUUCCCCUUCACCCAUUUGUUUGCGGCGUCAUGUAUUAUUACGGGAUUGAUUUUCAUGAUCUGUCUCCCAAUUCUUUCCUUAACAUUUCGGCGUUCAUCGUCGUAUGUGAGGCUUUUCUCCGUAUUUCACCCCACUUCGGCUUAUGGCUGAAAAUCUUCAACGUGAAGCCCAAGGUGGUGAAUGGCGAGCACGCCGAAUGCGGCGGCGCCAUGAUGAGCAAGAUGCCCUAGGUCAUAUGGCCGACGGGCACCUUCAAUGAUUCCGUCAAGGAGUGGCAGCAGCAGUGGUUCUAUAUCACCGAACCACAUGGUAAAAAGUGGGCCGUUGCUCCCGAGUUCAGAUCCGGAGCCCCACUGCGGCUCACGUCCUGGCCCGAGAAGGGCCUGAACUGAUCCUCAUCCGACGAGCUGUCAGUGCUCCAAACGCGCUCCAGAGCAUGGUCGACAAGGACGUCAAACUCGUCAACAUAGUCCAGGUGAUGUUAGUUCGCCUGGUUCUCCCUUGCUAGCGUCGAGCCUGCAAUUUGUGGGAAUACAACCCGGCCGAACACCAGACCCUACAGGAGCUCUAUGUUUAUUCUUUGUUGUGCUCUGUGCAUCUGGAAGGUGCUCUUCAAGUCUGGCAAACCGUGGCCGGGCUCCGCCGAGGACCGCGGGUAUCAACUAUCCCACUCUGCAAGUCCGGUAAGUCAUUGUUGUGCUCUGUGCAUCCGUCUUUUAGCCGGCUGUCACACCCUAGCUAGUCAAUGCAUUAGAGUGUUGCAUCAUGUUUAUUCUUUCAACAGAAACUUGAAAUGGGGAUGACAGAACCCCCAGCCCCCUCUGAAACUAACUAGGGUUUACUAAAAAUAUUUUCAAUGAACCUGAAAUGCCCUUCUAAAAUGUCCAUCAUUUUUGUCUUGGUUCAGAACCUCUGCCAAAAGUGAUGCAUAGUUUUCUAGGUCAUCCUAAGGUCUUUGAAUUAACUCAUAAGUAUUUGAGUUUGGGCAUUUAAAUUAUAUAAAUUAUUUUGAAUGCUCAAAUAUUUCCAAACUAAAAUGUUCCAUGUUGUAUAUAUUCCAGCUAGUGGCCAUGAGCAGUUUGGGAAAUUUAGGAGUUGUCUAAGUAUUUUUAAUAAGUCUACAAACCUACAGAAUAAAACAAAAAAAC
Molecule: long non-coding RNA, 29203 nt
Filed under: Triticum aestivum (bread wheat)
Lineage: Eukaryota; Viridiplantae; Streptophyta; Magnoliopsida; Poales; Poaceae
Description: long non-coding RNA (TAES_LNC011947)
Rfam family: MIR1120/MIR1122 microRNA precursor family (bases 485-614)
Source: RNAcentral